UAGCCCAUCCAGCCCUGCUGGGUCUUGGGCCCGCCGGCCGGCGGGCCCCAAAGCCAGUGGCGGUGCCGCCUGGUGCCUAAGCGUAGUACAACCCUCGCUAUAGGCCCCAGGCGCGCGCCCGCCAGCAACCCCUUCUAC
RNAcentral lists this unclassified non-coding RNA (138 nucleotides) under Entimomentora hyalina. RNAcentral describes it as "partial internal transcribed spacer 2". The record is from RNAcentral. Lineage: Eukaryota; Fungi; Ascomycota; Leotiomycetes; Helotiales; Pleuroascaceae.